RNAcentral lists this ribosomal RNA (736 nucleotides) under uncultured bacterium. RNAcentral's name for it is "bacterial SSU rRNA". It matches the Rfam family "Bacterial small subunit ribosomal RNA", at positions 592 to 1329 of the family's 1533-position model. The record is from RNAcentral.
GUGUGAAAUCCCCGGGCUUAACCUGGGAAUUGCGCUUGUAACUGGCAAGCUAGAGUGUGGCAGAGGGGGGUGGAAUUCCACGUGUAGCAGUGAAAUGCGUAGAUAUGUGGAGGAACACCGAUGGCGAAGGCAGCCCCCUGGGUUAACACUGACGCUCAGGCACGAAAGCGUGGGGAGCAAACAGGAUUAGAUACCCUGGUAGUCCACGCCCUAAACUAUGUCAACUAGUUGUCGGGGAAGAAAUUCCUUGGUAACGAAGCUAACGCGUGAAGUUGACCGCCUGGGGAGUACGGCCGCAAGGUUAAAACUCAAAGGAAUUGACGGGGACCCGCACAAGCGGUGGAUUAUGUGGAUUAAUUCGAUGCAACGCGAAAAACCUUACCUACCCUUGACAUGCUAGGAAGUCCGCAGAGAUGUGGACGUGCCCGAAAGGGAACCUAGACGCAGGUGCUGCAUAGCUGUCGUCAGCUCGUGUCGUGAGAUGUUGGGUUAAGUCCCGCAACGAGCGCAACCCUUGCCAUUAGUUGCGGCAUUUAGUUGAGCACUCUAAUGGGACCGCCGGUGACAAACCGGAGGAAGGUGGGGAUGACGUCAAGUCCUCAUGGCCCUUAUGGGUAGGGCUUCACACGUAAUACAAUGGUCGGUACAGAGGGCUGCCAACCCGCGAGGGGGAGCUAAUCCCAGAAAGCCGAUCGUAGUCCGGAUUGUAGUCUGCAACUCGACUGCAUGAAGCCGG